Molecule: ribosomal RNA, 1041 nt
Filed under: Stenotrophomonas sp.
Lineage: Bacteria; Pseudomonadati; Pseudomonadota; Gammaproteobacteria; Lysobacterales; Lysobacteraceae
Description: partial 16S ribosomal RNA
Rfam family: Bacterial small subunit ribosomal RNA
Source: RNAcentral
UGCAGUCGAACGGCAGCACAGUAAGAGCUUGCUCUUAUGGGUGGCGAGUGGCGGACGGGUGAGGAAUACAUCGGAAUCUACUUUUUCGUGGGGGAUAACGUAGGGAAACUUACGCUAAUACCGCAUACGACCUACGGGUGAAAGCAGGGGAUCUUCGGACCUUGCGCGAUUGAAUGAGCCGAUGUCGGAUUAGCUAGUUGGCGGGGUAAAGGCCCACCAAGGCGACGAUCCGUAGCUGGUCUGAGAGGAUGAUCAGCCACACUGGAACUGAGACACGGUCCAGACUCCUACGGGAGGCAGCAGUGGGGAAUAUUGGACAAUGGGCGCAAGCCUGAUCCAGCCAUACCGCGUGGGUGAAGAAGGCCUUCGGGUUGUAAAGCCCUUUUGUUGGGAAAGAAAUCCAGCCGGCUAAUACCUGGUUGGGAUGACGGUACCCAAAGAAUAAGCACCGGCUAACUUCGUGCCAGCAGCCGCGGUAAUACGAAGGGUGCAAGCGUUACUCGGAAUUACUGGGCGUAAAGCGUGCGUAGGUGGUUGUUUAAGUCUGUUGUGAAAGCCCUGGGCUCAACCUGGGAACUGCAGUGGAAACUGGACAACUAGAGUGUGGUAGAGGGUAGCGGAAUUCCCGGUGUAGCAGUGAAAUGCGUAGAGAUCGGGAGGAACAUCCAUGGCGAANGCAGCUACCUGGACCAACACUGACACUGANGCACGAAAGCGUGGGGAGCNNNAGGAUUAGAUACCCUGGUAGUCCACGCCCUAAACGAUGCGAACUGGAUGUUGGGUGCAAUUUGGCACGCAGUAUCGAAGCUAACGCGUUAAGUUCGCCGCCUGGGGAGUANNNCGCAAGACUGAAACUCAAAGGAAUUGANGGGGCCCGCACAAGCGGUGGANUAUGUGGUUUAAUUCGAUGCNACGCGAANAANCUUACCUGGNCNUUGACAUGUCGAGAACUUUCCANAGAUGGAUUGGNGCCNNCGGNNACUCGANCACNNNNCUGCAUGGCUGUCNUCAGCUCNNGUCNNGAGAUGUUNGGNNAANUCC